This is a long non-coding RNA of Oncorhynchus keta (chum salmon), 176 nucleotides long. RefSeq lists it as uncharacterized. The transcript has 4 exons. Lineage: Eukaryota; Metazoa; Chordata; Actinopteri; Salmoniformes; Salmonidae. The record is from RefSeq and is a predicted model, not a curated record.
AGGUUUCCAUUUAUGGGAAGGAGAGCCAUACCCAAUCUGAUGAUGGGAUGCCUCACUACUUCAAUAUGGGCCCUACUACUCUCAGCUAUCGGAUUUGGCUGCAUAGCUACACUGAUCUCUGCAGAGAGUAAUGUAACACAAAUGAACGAGCCACAUCAGUGGAGCCCGGAAAACAG